GAGGUUGUGUGAGUGUUGUGUAGAUGAUACAGGAUGAGGUUGUGUGAGCGUUGUGUAGAUGAUACGGGAUGAGGUUGUGUAGAUGAUACGGGAUGAGGUUGUGUAGAUGAUACGGGAUGAGGUUGUGUAGAUGAUACGGGAUGAGGUUGUGUAGAUGAUACGGGAUGAGGUUGUGUAGAUGAUACGGGAUGAGCGUUGUGUAGAUGAUAUGGGAUGAGGUUGUGUGAGCGUUGUGUAGAUGAUACGGGAUGAGGUUGUGUGAGUGUUGUGUAGAUGAUACGGGAUGAGAUUGUGUAGAUGAUACGGGAUGAGGUGGUGUAGAUGAUACGGGAUGAGGUUGUGUAGAUGAUACGGGAUGAGGUUGUGUAGAUGAUACGGGAUGAGGUUGUGUGAGCGUUGUGUAGAUGAUACGGGAUGAGAUUGUGUAGAUGAUACGGGAUGAGGUUGUGUGAGCGUUGUGUAGAUGAUACGGGAUGAGGUUGUGUAGAUGAUACGGGAUGAGGUUGUGUGAGCGUUGUGUAGAUGAUACGGGAUGAGGUUGUGUAGAUGAUACGGGAUGAGGUUGUGUAGAUGAUACGGGAUGAGGUUGUGUGAGUGUUGUGUAGAUGAUACGGGAUGAGGUUGUGUGAGUGUUGUGUAGAUGAUACGGGAUGAGGUUGCGUGAGCGUUGUGUAGAUGAUACGGGAUGAGGUUGUGUAGAUGAUACGGGAUGAGGUUGUGUGAGCGUUGUGUAGAUGAUACGGGAUGAGGUUGUGUGAGCGUUGUGUAGAUGAUACGGGAUGAGGUUGUGUAGAUGAUACGGGAUGAGGUUGUGUGAGCGUUGUGUAGAUGAUACGGGAUCAUAUUUGGAUAAGCCAUCAUUUGAUUCUUUGAAGCAGUGUCUAUUAAUGAAGUUGAUAUCCUUGAAUAAAACCACAAGGAAAAAAUAGCUUUUUCAAUCAUUUAUUAUCAAUAGAUGUGAUUUUCUUGUGUGGAAAAAGUAAGUACACUUGCCUCAGAAGCUAGUAUUGCCCCCUUUAGCAGAAAAAAUUUCUUGUAGGCGCUUCGCAUAAUUGUCCACUAGUCCCUGACAUCAGCUUGCUGGAACUUUUGACCACUUGUCCAUGCAAUAUUCUUUCAGUUGCAAGAUGUUUGAGGGUUUUCUGCAUGUACUGCCUGUUUCAAAUCCCCAACAUUAUUUCAAUAGGAUUCAAAUCCUGGCUUUGACUAGGACCUUCCAUAAACCUCUAUUUCUUCUUUCUGAGCCAUUUCUUGGUGGAUUUGUUAGUGUGUUUAGGAUCAUUAUCCUGUUGAAAGGUCCACUUUCAGUUCAACUUCAACUUUUGGAUAGAUGGCCCUACAUUAUCUUCAAGCACUCUUUGAUAUGAUGCAGAAUUCAUAGAUGAAUCAAUGAAUGCAAGCUGUACAGUACCUGAGGCAGAGAAACAACCCUAAACCAUAACAUUUCCACCACUGUGCUUCACAGUUGGUAUGAGGUGCUUCUCCUGAAAAGCUGUCUUUGGUCUGCGCCAAACAUGUCUGCUGUUACUGUUGUUAUCUUUGAUUUGUCUGUCCAGAACACAUUAUUUCAAAAGGCCUGGUCUUUGCCUAUAUGCUCAUUGGCAAACUGUGGUCUUUCUUUAAUCUUCUUUUUAGACAGCAAAGGCUUUUUCUUGGCACAUCUCCCAUGCC
Molecule: long non-coding RNA, 1671 nt
Organism: Ictalurus punctatus (channel catfish)
Lineage: Eukaryota; Metazoa; Chordata; Actinopteri; Siluriformes; Ictaluridae
Source: Ensembl